RNAcentral lists this ribosomal RNA (443 nucleotides) under uncultured bacterium. RNAcentral describes it as "partial 16S ribosomal RNA". It matches the Rfam family "Bacterial small subunit ribosomal RNA", at positions 338 to 795 of the family's 1533-position model. The record is from RNAcentral.
CCUACGGGAGGCUGCAGUGGGGAAUAUUGGGCAAUGGAGGCAACUCUGAACCAGCAACGCCGCGUGAAUGAUGAAGGUCUUCGGAUUGUAAAGUUCUGUGAUGGGGGAUGAACACAAUGACGGUACCCCAAUAGCAAGCCACGGCUAACUACGUGCCAGCAGCCGCGGGAAUACGGAGGUGGCAAGCGUUAUCCGGAAUGACUGGGCGUAAAGGGGGCGUAGGCGGUUUAGGAAGUUGGAGGGUAAAUUCCGGGGCUCAACCGCGGCGCUACCGCCGAAACUAGUAGCCUAGAGUGUAGGAGAGGUAAGUGGAAUUCCUAGUGUAGCGGUGAAAUGCGUAGAUAUUAGGAGGAACACCAGGGGCGAAGGCGACUUACUGGACUGUAACUGACACUGAGGCACGAAAGCGUGGGGAGCAAACAGGAUUAGAUACCCGUGUAGUC